UACGUAGGGUGCGAGCGUUAAUCGGAAUUACUGGGCGUAAAGCGUGCGUAGGCGGUUGGCAAAGUCAGCUGUGAAAGCCCCGGGCUUAACCUGGGAAUGGCGGUUGAAACUACUCGGCUAGAGUCCGGAAGAGGAGAGUGGAAUUCCUGGUGUAGCGGUGAAAUGCGCAGAUAUCAGGAAGAACACCGAUGGCGAAAGCAGCUCUCUGGGACGGUACUGACGCUGAGGCGCGAAAGCGUGGGGAGCGAACAGG
RNAcentral lists this ribosomal RNA (253 nucleotides) under uncultured bacterium. RNAcentral describes it as "partial 16S ribosomal RNA". It matches the Rfam family "Bacterial small subunit ribosomal RNA", at positions 524 to 776 of the family's 1533-position model. The record is from RNAcentral.